Tyto alba (common barn owl) is the source of this 900-nucleotide long non-coding RNA. RefSeq lists it as uncharacterized. NCBI's taxonomy places the organism in Eukaryota, Metazoa, Chordata, Aves, Strigiformes, Tytonidae. The transcript has 2 exons. The record is from RefSeq and is a predicted model, not a curated record.
GACGUAUAAGGAAAAGGCCGGCCGGCCCGGGCCGUGAGGCCUGUGCUUCCCCCCCCCUCGCCGCCUCAGGCGUGAAACCCCGGCGCGGGGUUUUAGCUGCAGGAACGCAAAGAACGGGCUCCCGCCGGGGGGAAAUGGGGUGUCAGGAUCCUCCCAGCGGCAAGGGCGGCUUUGUCUCCCCGCUUCCUCCGUACAAAAAUACGCCUAAAAAUCACGCUGACAUCACUACCGCCAGCCCUCCCCGCCCGCUGCAUUAACGGCAGACACUACCUCUCAGCGGCACCGCAACGCUGCUGCUGGAAAAGCCGUCGCUCCUGCCCGCGCUGAAGCUCGGAGCAGGGCACCCAGCGCUCUGAACGUGUGGAAAAUACUGGAAGCGUUCCGAGUCUGCAGAGAGGUCUGGAGUCAGGCUGGUGCGGUAUGAAGCCGCGCAGAGACCGAGGGAAGAGAAACAGCCGCGUUUAAAGCGCUGUGACCGCUCCUACUGAGGCUCCAGGAGAGGGGGACAAGGGGACGGCGAGGUGACAGCAAUCUCCUUGUGUAACCUGAGUAGCGGACCACUCAAGGGGGCCUCAUAGUUUCUGUCGGAAGGAACAAAAUACAGAACUGAAUUUUUUGUAGAGUUGAAGAUAACUGCGUUAAGGAAGACUGUGUUACGGAACACCUGCGUGGGAUUUAAUGCACAGAAAGAUUUAAUCACAAAACAGCUUGCUGCUUAUUCCCAAAGGCAGUAAGUGGAAGGAGGUAUGGAUAAAAAUUGAAGCUAGAUCUUUUAUUAAGACAGAGGAUUGUGCCUAGGAAGAUCGUUGAAACAACCUUCUGUAACACUGUCCUGUCUUGGGUCUUUUAAUGGUCUGCUCAUUUGUCCAGUGACCAUCAUUAAAGUCAUUAAAAAUGUUA